CGUGCAUUCACUUCUGUGUGAGAGUCUGUUUUAUCCCCACCGAGCAGGUGGGGACUCAACCCUUCACGCGCCCCGAUGAUGUGGUCCAAUAAAAGCCCUAAUCUUGCUUUAAUAAAGGAAAAGUGAAACCUCUGAAUCUAAUGUAAUCUAAUACACCCAGAGGAAGAGACCAGUUUACAAACACAAUCCAAUACUUAUUUCUGGAAUCCAUAAACAAUAUCAAACUGCUACAGUGAGUAAGAAACUUUCAUUUUGUUAUGCCACUGAAUUUUGGCGGUUGCUUUAUUACAGCAUCUGGCAUUCCUGGAACUAAUACACUCAAAAUUUGUUUUUAGAAUAUGGUGUUUGGAUGGCAUGUUUAGGCUCUCAGAUACGUAAUCUGGACAACGAAUGGUGGUGGCCAUUUUUCAUGUACUCGAAGGCAAGACCACAUCGUGUUUAUUCUUCCCCCCACGGUGAUGACCACAAGUCUGAGGACCUACAGCAGCUCCACACCACGAAAGGGUCUAUAAUGUCUGACAUGCUUUAAUAUUCUUUAACACUUUUGGAGAUUUACUUGAAGGCACAUUUUUCUUGGCCUGAAAGCCUUCAGUGAUUAUUGAAAUGCAAAUGGUAUCUCAGCAAAGUCACUCACUUGAUUUUCUUUGCUUCUAUUUCAGAGAAUGUAAGCAGAUGUGGAAGAGGAAUUCUGGUCCAUCGAUGUCCCUGUUAAAAGACUGGGACAAAACAAGAGCAGUGGGGAAAGAAGAGAAGACAGAGGCCAAUCAGAUGAGCCUGAAGAUACUACCCCAA
Molecule: long non-coding RNA, 792 nt
Filed under: Dasypus novemcinctus (nine-banded armadillo)
Lineage: Eukaryota; Metazoa; Chordata; Mammalia; Cingulata; Dasypodidae
Description: lncRNA (ENSDNOG00000050408.1)
Source: RNAcentral